GAUGAAGAACGUAGUGAAAUGCGAUAAGUAAUGUGAAUUGCAGAAUUCAGUGAAUCUUCGAAUCUUUGAACGCACAUUGCGCCCCCUGGUAUUCCGGGGGGCAUGCCUGUUCGAGCGUCAUUUCACCACUCAAGCCUCGCUUGGUAUUGGGCAACGCGGUCCGCCGCGUGCCUCAAAUCGACCGGCUGGGUCUUCUGUCCCCUAAGCGUUGUGGAAACUAUUCGCUAAAGGGUGUUCGGGAGGCUACGCCGUAAAACAACCCCAUUUCUAAGGUUGACCUCGGAUCAGGUAGGGAUACCCGCUGAACUUAAGCAUAUCAAUAAGCGGAGGA
This 331-nucleotide unclassified non-coding RNA is filed under the name soil metagenome. Its description in RNAcentral is "partial contains 5.8S ribosomal RNA, internal transcribed spacer 2, and large subunit ribosomal RNA". The stretch from base 1 to 120 matches the Rfam family "5.8S ribosomal RNA", at positions 35 to 154 of the family's 154-position model. The record is from RNAcentral.